Molecule: long non-coding RNA, 103 nt
Organism: Anguilla anguilla (European eel)
Lineage: Eukaryota; Metazoa; Chordata; Actinopteri; Anguilliformes; Anguillidae
Exons: 2
Source: RefSeq, a predicted model, not a curated record
UCAUGUGAUAAUUAUCAAUCAAUGAAAAAGGAUGAACAGAGUUUUAGAAUAACAGCAGGUUUGCAGGUGAGGCUACUGAAGGCUCAGAUGUAAAUCCUACAGC